AUGCGGGGCUCCCCGCGCCGGCCGACGGCACAGGGCAGGGGCAGUGCACACCCUGGCCUCCCGGGACGCCAAUGCGGGACUCCCCGACCCCGACCCCACGGCACAGGGCAGGGGCAGCGCGCACCCUGGCCUCCCGGGGGGCGCCAAUGCGGGACUCCCCGCGCCGGCCCCACGGCACAGGGCAGGGGCAGCGGGCACCCUGGUCUCCCGGGGGACGCCAAUGCGGGACUCCCCGCGCCGGCCCCACGGCACAGGGCAGGGGCAGCGCGCACCCUGGCCUCCCGGAGGGCGCCAAUGCGGGACUCCCCGCGCCGGCCCCACGGCACAGGGCAGGGGCAGCGGGCACCCUGGUCUCCCGGGGGACGCCAAUGCGGGACUCCCUGCCCCCGAACCCACGGCACAGGGCAGGGGCAGUGGGCACCCUGGCCUCCCGGGGGACGCCAAUGCGGGACUCCCCGCGCCGGCCCCACGGCACAGGGCAGGGGCAGCGGGCACCCUGGUCUCCCGGGGGACGCCAAUGCGGGACUCCCCGCGCCGGCCCCACGGUACAGGGCAGGGGCAGUGGGCACCCUGGCCUCCCGGGGGACCCCAAUGCGGGACUCCCCGCCCCGGCCUCACGGCACACAGGCGGCGGGAAGGGGCGACCGCGACCCCCGGUGGCUUCCGACCAGUCUGCGCUCCUAUCUGAGCGGGGAGCAGACCACCGCGAGCCAACCGGACAGGCGGGGUGGGGGUCCUGACGGGGACUCUCUCGGGGGUUCGGGACCCCGCCCGGCCGCCCCACGAACCUCAUCAGCGACCACACUCGGGCCACCAUGGUCGCUCGGCUCCGCGCAAGGACACCACACUGCCCGCCGCUUCCGCUCGCGGUGCGCAGAGGACGCCGGGACCUGUAGUCUUUCCUGUCAGCCGCAAAGGCCUCCGGGAGUCGAAGUCCCGCUAAAGCCUCUGAGACUCGGGAGAAGGACUAGCGAGGGUCCUACGGGCAGAGAGGCUUCUGGGAAAUGUAAGCUGUGUGGGCGACCCGGGAGCCGCAAGGCCGUCUGGGAAGUGUAG
RNAcentral lists this long non-coding RNA (1056 nucleotides) under Oryctolagus cuniculus (rabbit). Its description in RNAcentral is "lncRNA (ENSOCUG00000035697.1)". Lineage: Eukaryota; Metazoa; Chordata; Mammalia; Lagomorpha; Leporidae. The record is from RNAcentral.